This 303-nucleotide unclassified non-coding RNA is filed under the name Hevea brasiliensis (rubber tree). The record is from RNAcentral. Lineage: Eukaryota; Viridiplantae; Streptophyta; Magnoliopsida; Malpighiales; Euphorbiaceae.
GUCAAACCCCGCUGGCUACCCAGGAUCAGAAUGCAGUUGUCACUCCGAUGACAAGUGCGGUUGGAGCAUCGACUGUUCCGAAGAAGGAUGGAGCGGGCGCUGCGAAAGCUGGCGCAGAGAAGAGGAAGAUCGAUGCGAGGAAGAAGAGCUUGAAGAGAUUGUAGGUUUUAGAUGGUAGAGUGGACUAACAAGGAUUAUGCAUUGUAGGGGCUGGAAUGGGAGGAUAAUAAUGUGUUGGUUUAGUUGUGUGGGAUUGGAGAGGGAGAUGUAUGCUCAGUGGAUUUAUAUGCAGUCUUUAUUUUU